This 253-nucleotide ribosomal RNA is filed under the name uncultured bacterium. RNAcentral's name for it is "partial 16S ribosomal RNA". It matches the Rfam family "Bacterial small subunit ribosomal RNA", at positions 524 to 776 of the family's 1533-position model. The record is from RNAcentral.
UACGUACCGUCCAAACGUUAUUCGGAAUUACUGGGCUUAAAGGGUACGUAGGCGGCGCUGUCAGUCGGGUGUGAAAGCCCACGGCUCAACCGUGGAAUUGCGCCCGAUACUGCAGUGCUUGAGGGAGACAGAGGUAAGCGGAACUGAUGGUGGAGCGGUGAAAUGCGUUGAUAUCAUCAGGAACACCAGUGGCGAAAGCGGCUUACUGGGUCUCUUCUGACGCUGAGGUACGAAAGCUAGGGGAGCGAAGGGG